RNAcentral lists this long non-coding RNA (651 nucleotides) under Nicotiana benthamiana. RNAcentral describes it as "long non-coding RNA (NBEN_LNC040052)". Lineage: Eukaryota; Viridiplantae; Streptophyta; Magnoliopsida; Solanales; Solanaceae. The record is from RNAcentral.
AAAGUAAAAAAAAAUUUCCCCCCAAUUCCAAAUCAAAAAAAUUCAAGCCCUAAUUUUCUCCCUUCUUCUAAUUCCGCACAAAUCCGGGCUCGUGUUGACUUAUAAUCCAUGCUAGUUAACUGCUCUUAAUGAGAGCAAUCAAUUAGCAUUGGUUUUAGUUCAUUCCGUAGAUGCUGGAUUUUGGCCGAGUUAAUCAGAUUCUGGUCAAUUGUUCACUUCCAUUGAUAUGUUUCAUGCUGUCAAGAUAUUCCCGCAUGUUUGGUAUUUUCCCCUCCCUUUUCUACUGAUAUUAUACAUUAUCAUAUUUUCUGCCUUCAUUUAUGUAUUGUUAUUUGUUUUAGUUUUCUUCUCUAGUGGCCAGGUUCAUUAUUAAUUGACAGUUAGAAUUAGUUCGAGCUUGAAAUUAGAAUCGUUUAUUUUGUUUUCUAUUUUUUCUUGAUUUGUUUCUUUGAAUCAAUUCUGAUUGGUCAAGUUCUCAUAUUAACUAUGGUCAUAGCUGACUUAGUUAAGAGAUUAGUUCAGUUGGAUCUUGGUUUAUUCUAACCCAGGUUAAUAGUUGAAGAGUAAAUAAUGGAGGUUAAAAAGGGUAAGUUAGGAAUUUUGAUUGAGAGAAUCUCUUGUAACAGAUUUGAAAAUUUUCUGGAAGAUGGG